GCUGGCGUAGCUCAAUGGCAGAGCACCGGUUUUGUAAACCGGGGGUUGUGGGUUCAACUCCCAUCGCCAGCC
Molecule: transfer RNA, 72 nt
Filed under: Deltaproteobacteria bacterium
Lineage: Bacteria; Pseudomonadati; Myxococcota; Myxococcia
Also listed under: 4 other names
Description: tRNA-Thr
Rfam family: tRNA
About the family: Transfer RNA (tRNA) molecules are approximately 80 nucleotides in length.
Source: RNAcentral